Molecule: ribosomal RNA, 253 nt
Filed under: uncultured prokaryote
Description: partial 16S ribosomal RNA
Rfam family: Bacterial small subunit ribosomal RNA
Source: RNAcentral
UACGUAGGGUGCGAGCGUUAAUCGGAAUUACUGGGCGUAAAGCGUGCGCAGGCGGUUUUGUAAGACAGAUGUGAAAUCCCCGGGCUCAACCUGGGAAUUGCGAUGGAGACUGCAAGGCUAGAAUCUGGCAGAGGGGGGUAGAAUUCCACGUGUAGCAGUGAAAUGCGUAGAUAUCGUAAGGAAGACCAGUGGCGAAGGCGGAUCUCUGGACAGUUACUGACACUGAGGCACGAAGGCCAGGGGAGCAAACGGG